RNA transcript from Chenopodium quinoa (quinoa), 3074 nucleotides. It is a transcript of the gene named IAA-amino acid hydrolase ILR1-like 3, with no coding region annotated. NCBI's taxonomy places the organism in Eukaryota, Viridiplantae, Streptophyta, Magnoliopsida, Caryophyllales, Amaranthaceae. The record is from RefSeq and is a predicted model, not a curated record. The transcript is spliced from 6 exons.
AUUAAGAGCUACAGUGACACAAAAGUCACUAGUUCAAAUCACAUCCACCAUUCCAUACCGCACUUUCAAGUAGAAUUUUUCAUGUGGUGUAUAAAAGGCCCAUACCACAUUUCACAUUGCAAACCUAAAGGGUCUUUUUUUUCAAUAGUAAAAAAAUUCAUUAAUAAAAAGUCAUACGACAUCUACAAAAGAGAUUCGGUUUUAAAAAUACAUAAGAUAUUGAAUCAAAUAAAUAUUCAUUCAUAAAACUACAAUCAUCGAGUAGAUCUUGCAUUGUGGAAUAUAUCCCACUCAUAUCGCUGGAAAAGCCUUGUUGGAGAGACAAUCUAACGAUCCUUUGUAGCCGUAAGGAUGUUUUCCUCCUGAUUCAUCUGUUUGUAUUCGAAGCUUAAUAACCCCUGCGAUCUCGCAUAAUUUUUCACCAACGAAAUAAUUUCACAACAAUCCAUUAGAUCUAAUAUCAUGUAUUCAAACCUAAAAAGAUUCUCCCCCGAAAAGAGGAGAUAAAUCUAUCUGUCAAAAGAGGUUGAAAAAUUCUUGUCUUUCGAAAAAGAUAGGAAACCCUUUCUUUCGAGGGAGAAAAGUUCCUCCUAAAAGGAGGAAGCAUUAUUAUAAACCUAAAAAAACUUUUAAAGAAACAAGGAUGGAGGCUUUCCACCGGUUAAAACCGAUGAAAGCCCCUUAAAAAAACAACAAUGGAGGCUAGGGUUGAGGAGGGAGGAAGCACCUAAAGGGUAGUGGUGGCAAUUUGGGUCAGGUCGGGUUCGGAUCAGAUUUCGGGUCUAUUUUGGAUUAUGUUUAGAAACAAUCGAAAAUAACGUAAAACUUAAAAUUAUUACGAAAUAUGAAAUAUGGGUCAAAUCGGGUCGAAGUCUUUCUAAUUAUCCAAAAAAUUAGAACAUCCAUAAUGGCGAGCUACAUGUACAUGUAGCUUUGGGUUGCCACAUCAUUAAUCCCCAAGCUACAACCUCUACAAUAGUAAGUUACAUCCUUUUGUAAUAUAUAAAUUUUAAAAAAAUAAACAAACAAAUACAUAAAAAAUAUUAAACAAAUCAAUAUAUGUGUGUUGGGUGGAGUGAUAGAAUUAUGUAGGUUGGCUUAGCUAUAAGUGGUUGUAACUCUACAAUGACUAGCAUGUACCUAGAAUAAUUGCUAGCAGGUCCUUAUGCACAAUUAUUGUGAAUGCUCUUACGAAUUUUGACAGAUUUUUGCUUGAAUUGUUCGAUAUGUCGGUGUCAUUCUCGUGUUAUUGUUCAAACUUCGAAGUUACUCCGUAUACGAGUUAAAGAGCUUCAACUUCAACACUAAUUAAAUUCCAACUAUCUUUUACUCUCUCAUCCCAUAUGAUCAAACAUGGGUCCUCACAAUUCAAUUUACAACAAUUGGGUGUUCACCGUAUUAAUCUUGUAUUUAUGGUCUCAAUCUAAAUGGGUCAAAAUCAUCUGGGUUUCUGGGGCCAACUCAGAAUCCGACCCGAAUUCCCUCGGUCAAGAAUUACUGGAAAUGGCCAGAAAUCCCGAGUUCUUCGAUUGGUUGAAGAAGGUGAGGAGAAGAAUCCAUGAAAACCCAGAACUUUCAUUUGAAGAGUACAAGACGAGUCAACUCAUCAGAUCAGAGCUUGACUCGCUGGGAAUUGAGUACACGUGGCCAGUUGCUAAGACUGGUGUUGUCGGGUCAAUCGGGUCCGGGUCACAACCUUGGUUUGCUCUCAGGGCUGACAUGGAUGCCCUCGCCAUUCAGGAAAUGGUAGAAUGGGAAAAUAAGAGCAAGAUCAAUGGUAAAAUGCAUGCUUGUGGGCAUGAUGUGCAUGUCACGAUGCUUUUGGGAGCUGCGAAGUUGCUGCAACAGAAGAGGAAAGCCUUAAAGGGAACUAUUAAGCUGAUUUUCCAACCUGCAGAAGAAGGUCGUGCUGGUGCAUAUUCUAUGAUACAAGAGGGUGCUAUUGACAAUGUGCAAGCGAUUUUUGGACUACAUGUUUCGCCUUACGCUCCUAUAGGAACAAUUGGAUCUAGACCUGGCCCUGUGCUUGCUGGUGCAGGCAAAUUUGUUGCAAUAAUUCAAGGAAAAGGUGAAAUGAGAGAUCCAAUUUUUGCAGCAUCCUCCACAAUAUUGUCGCUGCAACAACUUAUUUCUCGAGAGACAGACCCUCUUGAUGGAAGAGUGGUGACAGUGACCAUGGUCGAAGGCAACCAAGAGGGAGAUAUCCCCGAGACUGUUAAGUUUGGGGGGACUUUUAGGAGUGCAACUGCGGAGGGGUUGUCCAAUCUUCAAAGAAGGAUUAAAGAGGUCAUAGUGCUGCAAGCAGCUGUGCAUCGGUGCACUGCUACUGUUGAUUUUAUGGAAGAAAUAGCAAGGCAUUAUCCUCCAACCGUCAAUGACAAAAUGAUGUAUGACCAUGUGAAGGGCAUAGGAACAAUGUUACUCGGGGAAUCAAAUGUGCUUAUUUCUCCAUUUCUCAUGGGAGCAGAGGAUUUUGGCUUCUAUUCGCAGAAAAUUCCAGCUGCGUUUUUCAACAUUGGGAUAGCGAACAAAACAUUGAAUUCAGACAAGCCAUUACACUCGGCACACUUUUUUGUAGAUGUGGAUGCUCUCCCAAUUGGAGCUGCACUUCAUGCUGCUGUCGCGAUGUCCUAUUUGAAUGACAAUGCAGCAAUGCAAAGUCAAUAAGGAGCUUCGUGAAGUUGGCUUUUAUUUGCUGUAAGACAUCAGUGUACAGGAUAUGUUCUGAUAACUCCAUCACAUGAAAAAUGGUGGCUAAUUGAAUUCAGACUUCAGUUGCCUUGCUCCCUCGACCUUCCACUUCUUGCUACUGUAUAGACUUAUAGUUUGGUUAACAUUGUCAAAGGAGCCUGAUAUAGGAGAGAUUCAUUACAAGUGGACAAUCAAAGACAUCAAGUUAUGGAUGUCUACUUGUCUAGUAAUCGAAUGUUUUGUAUAAAAAUUUCAUAUCUUUUAUACCUUAAAUUUUAUACACUUAUCAUAUAAGGUGUUUGAAAUGUGUAUUAGAACAUAUCGAAAAUUUUAUUUAACGCGAAAAUGAUUUGCAUGGCUAAAAAUAUAACUUCUCUUUGCAU